GGAUGUGAGGGUGACCUGGCUGCGACUUCUGUCAUCCCAUUGGUGAUGAUAGAUGACAUCAUCACCAAUGAUGUUGAUUUGGCUGAUUUAGCUGGCUAGGCAGGUGUCCCCAUAUUCCCUCACUGCUCCAUGUGCAUCUCUCCAGAAGCUGCAUGCCAGUUGGAAGAGGACGACAUUCCCAAAUAGAGCAGGACCAUUCUUUGGUCAAAGGUAUAUGAGUAGCUGCAAUCCUUUGCUAUAACCUCCAAACAACCUCUCAAAUGUUUACAACUGCUGUGUUCACAAUACCCAGGUUAAGGUAUCACUCUAGUUGUCCAUCAACAAUGGAAUAAAAAAAAUU
RNAcentral lists this small nuclear RNA (340 nucleotides) under Castor canadensis (American beaver). RNAcentral describes it as "7SK RNA (ENSCCNG00000010581.1)". It matches the Rfam family "7SK RNA", at positions 1 to 294 of the family's 331-position model. Rfam says of the family: 7SK was discovered as an abundant small nuclear RNA in the mid-70s but a possible function has only recently been suggested. Two independent studies have found that 7SK RNA binds the CDK9/cyclin T complex (known as elongation factor P-TEFb). The record is from Rfam by way of RNAcentral. Lineage: Eukaryota; Metazoa; Chordata; Mammalia; Rodentia; Castoridae.